ACUCCUACGGGAGGCAGCAGUGGGGAAUAUUGCACAAUGGGCGCAAGCCUGAUGCAGCCAUGCCGCGUGUGUGAAGAAGGCCUUCGGGUUGUAAAGCACUUUCAGUCGUGAGGAAGGUAGUGUAGUUAAUAGCUGCAUUAUUUGUACGUUAGCUGCAGAAGAAGCACCGGCUAACUCCGUGCCAGCAGCCGCGGUAUACGGAGGGUGCGAGCGUUAAUCGGAAUUACUGGGCGUAAAGCGCAUGCAGGUGGUUUGUUAAGUCAGAUGUGAAAGCCCGGGGCGUCAACCUCGGAAUUGCAUUUGAAACUGGCAGACUAGAGUACUGUAGAGGGGGGUUAGAAUUUCAGGUGUAGCGGUGAAAUGCGUAGAGAUCUGAAGGAUACCAGU
RNAcentral lists this ribosomal RNA (387 nucleotides) under uncultured bacterium. Its description in RNAcentral is "bacterial SSU rRNA". It matches the Rfam family "Bacterial small subunit ribosomal RNA", at positions 335 to 713 of the family's 1533-position model. The record is from RNAcentral.